AGAUUGAACGCUGGCGGCAUGCCUUACACAUGCAAGUCGAACGGCAGCACGGGAGCAAUCCUGGUGGCGAGUGGCGAACGGGUGAGUAAUAUAUCGGAACGUGCCCAGUCGUGGGGGAUAACGUAGAGAAAUUUACGCUAAUACCGCAUACGAUCUAAGGAUGAAAGCGGGGGACCGCAAGGCCUCGCGCGAUUGGAGCGGCUGAUAUCAGAUUAGGUUGUUGGUGAGGUAAAAGCUCACCAAGCCGACGAUCUGUAGCUGGUUUGAGAGAACGACCAGCCACACUGGGACUGAGACACGGCCCAGACUCCUACGGGAGCAGCAGUGGGGAAUUUGGACAAUGGG
Molecule: ribosomal RNA, 345 nt
Filed under: uncultured soil bacterium
Lineage: Bacteria
Description: bacterial SSU rRNA
Rfam family: Bacterial small subunit ribosomal RNA
Source: RNAcentral